GGAUAUCCUUUGUAUCUUCUAGUGGCAAUAUUUAGAGCUACCAAUGGUCUAAGUUAGCCUACCUGACUUGGGAUAAUUUGAGCUCGAUUUUAUACUACUAGCAAGGCUCAAGCCAAAAGUUUGAACCUAAGAUUGCUAUCAGAUAGAGCUCAGGUCCAAAACUGUAAAUUGAGAAAAAAAAAGGCUCUAGCCAUUUUUCUUCUUAGUUCCACCCUCAACUGACAACAUUGUCUAUAUUGGGAAUGUGAGAAUUCAAGGUUGAAGGGCACAUAAUGAGAACCUACAAUAUUUAAGUGUGCUUGGAUUUUUGUUAUAAAUCAACAUGGAGUUAUUUUUGUACCAUCUCAUUACUAAAGAGAGUAUUACAAAAAUUACGAGACAUCCUUCUCUUGAGAGAAUCGUACAAGAAAGGUUAUACUAAAAAAAAUCUAUAGAAAUAUAAGAGAAUCUCAAAUAAUAACAAGAGAAUUAUGGAAAAUAAAAUAAGUUUUGUUGCUAUAAGACUCCAAAAGAGCUAUGACAUGGCUAGAGCUAGAUGCUAUUUGAGAUCCAAGAUGCGGAGAGAAUCUACAAAAAAAGUUCGUAUUCAUCGGGGGUAUUCUGACGAGGGACCCUCCAAUGUAUAAGUUAGCUGAAGCUUUAGGAACAACAAAAAAGAGAGAGUGAGAGAGAGAUGGUAAUAGAGAACAAAGCCUCCUCUCCACUUUUAUUUUUUCUUUUCUGAGUUAGCUUGUCCUUACCUGAGGGUCCUCAUCAUACCUUUUUUAUAUGGAGGUAGAGUCCGUAUCUUGUUAGCCAGAAUGUUUAGGUUUGUUGGGCCUGAUUAGGGAUGGC
This 834-nucleotide long non-coding RNA is filed under the name Elaeis guineensis (African oil palm). Its description in RNAcentral is "long non-coding RNA (EGUI_LNC007138)". Lineage: Eukaryota; Viridiplantae; Streptophyta; Magnoliopsida; Arecales; Arecaceae. The record is from RNAcentral.